This is a non-coding RNA of Oncorhynchus mykiss (rainbow trout), 759 nucleotides long. Lineage: Eukaryota; Metazoa; Chordata; Actinopteri; Salmoniformes; Salmonidae. The record is from RefSeq and is a predicted model, not a curated record.
GGUGAGGCCAGGUGAGUGUUGGUGUUGAUACAGGUGUUCAGGUGGAGGUGAGGCCAGGUGAGUGUUGGUGUUGAUACAGGUGUUCAGGUGGAGGUGAGGCCAGGUGAGUGUUGGUGUGGAUACAGGUGUGUUCAGGUGGAGGUGAGGCCAGGUGAGUGUUGAUACAGGUGUGUUCAGGCGGAGGUGAGGCCAGGUGAGUGUUGAUACAGGUGUGUUCAGGUGGAGGUGAGGCCAGGUGAGUGAUGGUGUUGAUACAGGUGUGUACAGGUGGAGGUGAGGCCAGGUGAGUGUUGAUACAGGUGUGUUCAGGUGGAGGUGAGGCCAGGUGAGUGAUGGUGUUGAUACAGGUGUGUUCAGGUGGAGGUGAGACCAGGUGAGUGUUGGUGUUGAUACAGGUGUGGUCAGGUGGAGGUGAGGCCAGGUGAGUGUUGGUGUUGAUACAGGUGUUCAGGUGGAGGUGAGGCCAGGUGAGUGAUGGUGUUGAUACAGGUGUGUUCAGGUGGAGGUGAGGCCAGGUGAGUGUUGAUACAGGUGUGUUCAGGCGGAGGUGAGGCCAGGUGAGUGUUGGUGUUGAUACAGGUGUUCAGGUGGAGGUGAGGCCAGGUGAGUGUUGGUGUUGAUACAGGUGUGUUCAGGUGGAGGUGAGGCCAGGUGAGUGAUGGUAUUGAUACAGGUGUGUUCAGGUGGAGGUGAGGCCAGGUGAGUGUUGGUGUUGAUACAGGUGUGGUUCUUUCAGGUGUGGUUCUUUCAGGUGUGUUU